UACGAAGGGUGCAAGCGUUACUCGGAAUUACUGGGCGUAAAGCGUGCGUAGGUGGUUCGUUAAGUCUGAUGUGAAAGCCCUGGGCUCAACCUGGGAAUUGCAUUUGAGACUGCAUAGCUAGGGUGCGGAAGAGGGAAGCGGAAUUUCCGGUGUAGCGGUGAAAUGCGUAGAUAUCGGAAGGAACACCAGUGGCGAAAGCGGCUUCCUGGUCCAGCACCGACGUUCAGGCACGAAAGCGUGGGGAGCAAACAGG
Molecule: ribosomal RNA, 253 nt
Filed under: uncultured bacterium
Lineage: Bacteria
Description: partial 16S ribosomal RNA
Rfam family: Bacterial small subunit ribosomal RNA
Source: RNAcentral